This 130-nucleotide non-coding RNA is filed under the name Nocardia asteroides. The record is from RNAcentral. Lineage: Bacteria; Bacillati; Actinomycetota; Actinomycetes; Mycobacteriales; Nocardiaceae.
CGUGCCAGGCUAGAGUUCGGUCGUCAUCCCCGGCGGGUGCGGGAAUCCGGUGCAAUUCCGGAACGGUCGCGCCACUGUGAUCGCCUCGCGGCGAAAGUCAGACCUCCCUCGCCGGGCACCCUCUGAAAGG